RNAcentral lists this long non-coding RNA (612 nucleotides) under Rattus norvegicus (Norway rat). Its description in RNAcentral is "long non-coding RNA NONRATT029225". The record is from RNAcentral. Lineage: Eukaryota; Metazoa; Chordata; Mammalia; Rodentia; Muridae.
CCUGGAUGCCACAGGCUUAGCUCCUACCCUGCUGAGCCUGCUGCUUCUGCUGUCUUAUCUCCCAGCUACCGGGUGGCCCUUUAUCUCCUGGCUUCUUAGCUUGGGAGACCCUGCUGAAUGGGGGCCCCUUGAGGCCUGAGGGAUUCUCUCCCGAUAAGCCCUUUGCCAACCUUUUCACUCUGGACCCAGGACCCAGCGUUCUGCCUGAGCGUGAGCUAGGACCCCCCUCCCAGGGAACGCCCAGGUGCCUUGGGCUUUCGCCCUCCUGCCAACAUCGAGUCUCCAAGUUCGCAAGAGCCAGAGGGAAGGAGCUGCCAACCAGGCACAGCGGAGAACACUGGAACCAUGACAACCAGUCACCAGCCUCAGGACAGGUAUAAGGCUGUCUGGCUCAUCUUCUUUGUCCUGGGUCUGGGGACACUGCUCCCCUGGAAUUUUUUUAUAACAGCAACCCAGUAUUUCACAAGCCGCCUGAACACGUCCCAGAAUAUAUCCUUGGUCACCAACCAAUCAUGCGAAAGCACCGAGGCCUUGGCUGACCCCUCAGUGUCCUUGCCAGCCCGGAGUUCUCUCAGUGCCAUCUUCAACAAUGUCAUGACCCUGUGUGCCAUG